Molecule: ribosomal RNA, 406 nt
Filed under: uncultured bacterium
Lineage: Bacteria
Description: partial 16S ribosomal RNA
Rfam family: Bacterial small subunit ribosomal RNA
Source: RNAcentral
AUUGAACGCUGGCGGCAGGCCUAACACAUGCAAGUCGAACGAGUGGCGGACGGGUGAGUAAUGUCUGGGAAACUGCCUGAUGGAGGGGGAUAACUACUGGAAACGGUAGCUAAUACCGCAUACCCUCGGAUGUGCCCAGAUGGGAUUAGCUAGUAGGUGGGGUAAAGGCUCAUCUAGGCGACGAUCCCUAGCUGGUCUGAGAGGAUGAACAGCCACACUGGAACUGAGACACGGUCCAGACUCCUACGUGAGGCAGCAGUGGGGAAUAUUUCGCAAUGGGCGCAAGCCUGACGGAGCCAUACCGCGUGAAUGAAGAAGGCCUUCGGGUUGUAAAAUACUUUCAGCGGGGAGGCGGUACCCGAAGAAAAAGCACCGGCUAACUACGUGCCAGCAGCCGCGGUAAUAC